AGCGAACGUUAGCGGCGGGCCUAACACAUGCAAGUCGAGCGAGAAUGAGGGGGCAACUCCUCUAGUAAAGUGGCGGACGGGUGCGUAACACGUGGGUAAUCUACCUUCCGGCGGGGGACAACAGUCCGAAAGGAUUGCUAAUACCGCAUUCGUCGGCAGGGUCUACGGACUCUGCCGGGAAAGAUGGCCUCUCCUUGGAAGCUGUCACCGGAAGAUGAGCCCGCGGCCCAAUCAGCAGUUGGUGAGGUAACGGCUCACCAAGGCUAAGACGGGUAGCUGGUCUGAGAGGAUGAUCAGCCACACUGGGACUGCGACACGGCCCAGACUCCUACGGGAGGCAGCAGUGGGGAAUAUUGGGCAAUGGGCGAAAGCCUGACCCAGCCACGCCGCGUGAGUGAAGAAGGCCUGCGGGUUGUAAA
This 419-nucleotide ribosomal RNA is filed under the name uncultured bacterium. Its description in RNAcentral is "bacterial SSU rRNA". It matches the Rfam family "Bacterial small subunit ribosomal RNA", at positions 29 to 429 of the family's 1533-position model. The record is from RNAcentral.